This is a long non-coding RNA of Antechinus flavipes (yellow-footed antechinus), 4429 nucleotides long. RefSeq lists it as uncharacterized. NCBI's taxonomy places the organism in Eukaryota, Metazoa, Chordata, Mammalia, Dasyuromorphia, Dasyuridae. The transcript has 2 exons. The record is from RefSeq and is a predicted model, not a curated record.
UCUGGGCAAGAUGCCAGAAUUCUACCAAUUCCAAGCCUACUCUCAAUUCCAGAGGACCAAUGAUAAAUCAGGCUUCUCAUGUCUGCUUUAGCAAAAAAGUCACAGAGAUGUACAAGCUUAGACAUAUAGUCAGUCAACCAACGUUUAUGAAGUGUUAAGCCUCGGGGAUACACAUAAAUGCUAAAGGAGAAGUGGGAGAGGAGAAUGCUAUUAUUUUCCAGUUCUCCCAAUGAAAGUACACUCAUGAAAAGAUGCAGGGGCCAAUGUGGGAAGCAUCUUUGGUCAAGAUCAAUAGUGGGACAGAUUGUUUUGUCAUCUGAGUAGUUGAAGAGUGGUAGGAGCAUAUAUUCGAAUGGGAAAAACAUGUCAAUACCUAGAUACAAAAUAUAGACAGAGUAAAUAGAAAAUCAUUUCAGAGGUGGGUUGUUUGUGCUUCAUUCUCGAAGAGGACCAUGACAGCAGGAAGGGGAUUCCAUGACAUGCAAAUGAAUUUAAGGGAUUUAAGGGAGGGAGGGCUGUUCAAGGUCUCCGAACUCAUGUUCUUCUCCAGAGCCACAUGGAGCCAGUGGCAAGAUAUAAAUCGGACGACUAGAGAUAACACUGGAUAUCUUAGAGAUAGAGGGAGAAGAUGGAAUAAUUGAGAAAACAACAGACUGCUGCGGCUGGGUGGAGGGUGUGUAGAGGGGACUUUUGGGAAGAACUAUGGGAAUCCGCUUUGCUGACCAUUACUUUCAGAUACAGGUCAGAUAGUCACCCUUUUCUCUUUAUGCAAAUAUUUCUGGUCAGCUGGUAGGGUGUGAUGAGUAGUGUGAGUGUUUUGGGAACUUUAAUUAAAUCUGAAAUGCUCUAACCCCAUCACUCUAGGCAACUGGACCUUCUUAUGGCCUUAGGUAACCAGGAAGAGAUGUCAAAUAAGCUCCCAGUUGGGAGCUCCCAGGAACUUGCCUCAUAGGAAGGGCAGUUCAAAUCAAGCAAGAGUGUCAUCUUUUAGGAACAGGAAUAAAAUCUCUUUUCCUCCCCCCAAAGGCAACUGGAAUUAAGUGGCUUGCCUAGGAUCACACAGCUAGUAAGUGUUAAGUGUCUGAGGCCAGAUUUGAACCCAGGUCUUCCUGACCCCAGGGCUGGCGCUCUAUCCACUGAGCCACCUAGCUGUCCCAGUGUCAUCUUUUAAGGAAAAACUAGUCUUGUCCAUGUGGGCUGGGGGUGGGGAGAACUCUGGGAGAUAUCAAUCAGUCUUGGUACAUUUCAUCCCAAUGGUGACAAGUUCCCAGCACUCUUCAAGUCAAGUAAUCAUAUACAAGGACUGCUGUGGGCUUCAUAUCGACUUAGUUCUAUUCAAUCAUUCAUUUAUUCAUUCAUUCACUUAUUUAUUCAUUUGUUUGUUUUAGUUUUUUACUUACAAGACAUAUGCAUGGGUAAUUUUUCAGCAUUGACCCAUGCAAAACCUUCUGUUCCAAUUUUUCCCCUCCUUCCCCCCCACCUCCUCCACAAGAUGGCAGGUAGACCAAUACAUGUUAAAUAAGUUAAAGUAUACGUUAAAUACAAUAUAUGUAUACAUAUUUAUGCAGUUAUCUUGCUGCACAAGAAAAACCCGAUUUAGAAAUAAGGUAAAAAUAAUCUGAGAUGGAAAACAAAAAUGCAAGCAGACAAUAACAGAAGGCAUGGAAAUGCUAUAUUGUGGUCCACACUCUUUCCCCAUAGUUCUUUCACAGGAUGUAGCUGGUUCUCUUCAUUACUGAACAAUUGGAACUGAUUUGGUUCAUCUCAUUUUUGAAGAGAGCCACUUGACUUAAUUUUAAAAUGCAAUGUUAUCUAUGGUUUAUUGUAUUUUAUUUAUUUUGCUAAAUAUUUCCCAAUUAUAUCUUAAUCAGGUUCUAUCCCUGAGGCCCCAUAUUUGAACAGCCCUAUUCUAGAGACCCUUUCAUCAUGUAAAUGCUUUUAGGACAUUUAGGCAGCUAGCGGCACCAUAAUGCAUAGAGCAUUCUGCCUGGAGUUAGGAAGACUCAUCUUCCUGAGUUCAAAUGUGGCUUCAGAUACGAACUAUGUGACCCUUUUUGACUCAGUUUCCUCUCUGGAAAAUAAGCAACCACUCUAGUAGCUUUGUGAAGAAAACUCCAAAUGGAGCCAUAAAGAUCUGGGAGAAAUUGGCAGACAGAUCAUUGUUGAAUCCAUGGGAAUUGAUCUCAGUAUGAGAAUAUACAAGGAGAAAAGUAGAAGGCCCAGGGACUGAAAAAUGACCGAACAAUUACACUAAUAACAAAGGGCAUUUGCUAGACAAUCCUCCUGGCACAGGCAAUGCUAAGGAGAUAAAGAAAAAGAAAAAAAAUUACGGGUACCAUUCAUCCCAGGAGUCACCAAAAUUAAAAAGAAAAAUGCAAAGGGCAAAUGUGCCAAAUUUAGGUUUUUCUUUCUCCCUUAGAAGGCUUAAAUCUCAGAUCUUGCCAAUUGGGUUCAUAUGAUAGGUGGUGCUGAGAAUUCCCCAUUCACAUUGGGUCUCCUGAUGGUGAUAGGGGAGCCUGUGCAGGGCCACCACAUAAGUGAGCCUCUCCUGCCACAACAAUUACUUCUUCAGUACCUGUUGUCUGUAGUAAAGUGUCUAAAAGAUCAUAUAAGUCUCACACACAAGUUAUCCUGGAUUCUAAGCUGAUAUUGAGGCUUUCCCUGGACCUCCUUUCAGUACUUCCUGUAUCACCAACCCAAACCUCCACCUCCUUUGGAAUCACAUUAGAGGUAGAAUGCAAUGCCCCAUUUUUGCCCCCUUGGGAGCUUAUGUGGAGAAUCCAGUGGGAAAUUCUUUCUUUGGGGUCCACCCUGAGCCUCAGAAUUAUAACAUAAAGUCAGCAGGAGCUCACAGGUAACAGGCUCAUUGCCUGCUGGCAAAAUUCUAGCAGAAGCAGAUUAAACUGUAAUUAGAAAAUGUUUAACAAAAUAAAUCAAAAUAUGAUGCAACAUCAUAGUGUUGAUGCUAGUUUUCCAGGGGAGUAUGGAAUUCAAAGCUUCUUUCUUCCAAGUAAAUGCUCAUUUACUAUAGGAAGAGUUUCCCUCCUGGGCUGUUCCUCCAAACAUUUUCUGGGAAAGGGUUUUCCAAUCCAUCUUAGAGGACAAAAGGAAACCCCAUGUAAUUUCUCCAGAGCUCCUGUAAUGGGCAAGGAUCUUAUGACCUACAUCACUAAGUCCAGGAAGGGAGAAGCAAGGGCAUUGAGGGUCUGUUGGCCCUAUGUCCAGAAGUCACAAAUUACAUGUGACUGUUUGGAGAGUUUUGAAGGUUUAUACCUUGUUGCUGAUCUUGAAUCUAAUUUGGAUGAGUCCCACCAUCUGCUGUCUAUCUUUGUCUUACUCAGGUGCUGCUGAAUGGAAUUGGAGAAAAUCAUGGAACUAUGCUGACUGGAGAGAUGCCAUUAAAUACAAAGAAGCUCUAAAAUAAGUUGUUAAAAGCCAAAGAGAUGACCAGAAAAAAGACUGAAGCAAGAGAAGCAGCUGAAUAUAAGGAUUUGGUGACAAAAGAUAUUGAAGGCCAUGGGAGAAGUUAUUUAGAAUACAGUUACUUAGACUACCAGAGCUGAUAAGAACUGAACUGUUAAGUUGACUCUGAAGCUAUUUUGCUGAGAGUCAUGAUGAUUGGAAGAAAUUUGCUGAGAGCUGACUGAGAGAAGAAAGACUUUAUUAACAGAGAGAGGACUGAAGUCAACUUAGUUUGGCAACUUCUGGAAGCUGAUUGGAGAAAAACAGGGUCUUCUGUUUAUUUGAAGAGCCCUCUAGCUUUAUUUUAUUGCUUUCAACAACCUGAGAAGGAGAAACUUCUCUGGGAGUGACUACAUUACCUUUCAUUGCUAUCUAUAAUCAAAGAAAGGUAAAGGAGAAAAACAGGCUUUGCACCUCUUUUGAGCUAUGCUGAUACAUUUUGCCAAAAGAGUAUAACCCUUUCUCAGCACCCUGCAAACGAUGAUCGUGUGUUUGUUAAAAGAGCUUGCCUCAGUAGCCUGAGAUUAUUCAAGAAAUCAUUACGUCCAAAAAGUGAUGCUUAGUGAAAACUGUUCUAUAACAUGACCAAGGACAUCAAAAUUUGUCAGUCAGGGUCAUCUCAGGCAUGUUGUUUUCCCUAUUCAUGUGCCUUUCUGCUGUUUCAUAAAUAUAUGCCCAUUAUCCCCUCUAGAUACUGUGCGCUUCCAUAAGAGAGUUUGAUUCAGGUUUAUGGACAUACAAUUAUAGUUUUAUUUUGGCUUUUGCCUUCUAAACAAUAAUAAAUAUUAGAAUAAAUAGAUUAAAUAUUAUAAUAAAUAAUACGUUAUUUUUCAACUUGCUUUAUUAAGCAAAUAUUUUAUGUUUAAGAAACAGUGGUGUCUCUUUGAGAAAGGGAUGAGGAGGGAUGAAGGGGGAAAUUUGGUCAAUGUGAAAACCAAAGAUAACAAUAAAAAUUUAUUUAAAAUAA